This 352-nucleotide unclassified non-coding RNA is filed under the name soil metagenome. Its description in RNAcentral is "partial contains 5.8S ribosomal RNA, internal transcribed spacer 2, and large subunit ribosomal RNA". The stretch from base 1 to 120 matches the Rfam family "5.8S ribosomal RNA", at positions 35 to 154 of the family's 154-position model. The record is from RNAcentral.
GAUGAAGAACGUAGCGAAAUGCGAUAAGUAAUGUGAAUUGCAGAAUUCAGUGAAUCAUCGAAUCUUUGUACGCACAUUGCGCCCGCCAGUAUUCUGGCGGGCAUGCCUGUUCGAGCGUCAUUACAACCCUCAGGCCCCCGGGCCUGGCGUUGGGGAUCGGCGGAGCCCCCCGUGGGCACACGCCGUCCCCCAAAUGCAGUGGCGGUCCCGCCGCAGCUUCCAUCGCGUAGUAGCUAACACCUCGCGACUGGAGAGCGGCGCGGCCACGCCGUAAAACACCCAACUCUUCUGAAGUUGACCUCGAAUCAGGUAGGAAUACCCGCUGAACUUAAGCAUAUCAAUAAGCGGAGGA